CCUACGGGAGGCAGCAGUAGGGAAUAUUGCUCAAUGGGGGAAACCCUGAAGCAGCAACGCCGCGUGGAGGAUGAAGGUUUUCGGAUUGUAAACUCCUUUUGUUAGAGAAGAUAAUGACGGUAUCUAACGAAUAAGCACCGGCUAACUCCGUGAAAGUAGCCGCGGUCAUACGGAGGGUGCAAGCGUUACUCGGAAUCACUGGGCGUAAAGAGCGCGUAGGCGGGAUUGAAAGUCAGAUGUGAAAGCCUAUGGCUUAACCAGAGAACUGCAUUUGACACUGUUAUUCUGGAGUAUGGGAGAGGUAGGUGGAAUGCUUGGUGUAGGGGUGAAAUGCGUAGAGAUCAGGAGGAAUACUCAUUGCGAAGGCGACCUGCUAGACCAUAACUGACGCUGAUGCGCGAAAGCGUGGGGAGCAAACAGGAUUAGAUACCCGAGUAGUC
This 440-nucleotide ribosomal RNA is filed under the name uncultured bacterium. RNAcentral's name for it is "partial 16S ribosomal RNA". It matches the Rfam family "Bacterial small subunit ribosomal RNA", at positions 338 to 795 of the family's 1533-position model. The record is from RNAcentral.